CUGGUAUUUACAAAGGCGGUUCUAUUACUGACAGUGCGGUAACCACUGUCACCGUAAUUACCUACCUAAACGCAGCAGGUUAGGAAAUCGUUAGAAUGCCAACCCCCAUCCCCCACUAUAGUCAUUUCCAAGGUAGAAAAGAGCAGCGCUGGGUUUGAUCUCCAAUACAUACACAAAAACACAGGAAAUAGGAGGCUGUAGACUCAUAUUGCUUAUAUUUCAGCAUCACUGGAGAGCUGAUUAGAAAAGGGUCUUAUCCCUGCCUCACACAUACUGAGUCAGGAUCUGCGAGGUUUUUUGUUUGUUUGUUUUUAAGCCGAGUGGGGACGGGUGAACAAGGGCUAUCUGCCACUGCAAACGAACAAACUCCAGAUGCAUGGACCACUUUGUGCAUCUGGCUUUCCCUGGGUACUGGGGAUUUGAACCCUGGGCACCUCCAUUUCUUCAUCUGUAGCAUGAAGGUAUAAUGCCUGCCUGUAGCAGAAUAACAAAAACGGGGCAAUAUGUAAGCUUCGAAGACUUCUCUGAGAGGGCUUUUGUAAGGAGUUGGGUCUGUAGAUUCGCAUCUUUGGAUGCGAAUUCCCUCAAAGAAGACCAGAACUGAUCUGUUAGAGAGCCAGGAAAGUGUUGGAAUCCAUCACUCCAUGUGCUGCUUGAAUUUUCUUCUCACAGUGAGCACUGUGAACAUGUGGAAUUUUUUUUUUGGUCUGCUCUGGAUUCCCAAGCAAAUACUUUCUACUACUUGCUGAUGUCUUGGAGAAUCAAGCUUGACAGCCAGACCCCAGUGAAAGAUGGGUGGCUGCUUGGGGUCUUCACUCUACUGGAUAUGGGGAAGAUAAGCAUGGACACUUCCCAGCACACAGCUGAGCCUUUGGAGAUGUAGAGCUGGAGGAAGGUGGUGGCUGAGCCUGCCAAUGCCAGCAAUAGGAGGAAAAGAAGGCCAGACAGAUCAGGGAGCUUUGAGAUGGAUGCACCAGCCUGUGCAGGGCUCGGAUUCUGUUCCCAGACCAGCAUGAACACUGAAGCUAUCCAGAAGCCAGGCUGGGGAUCAGAGGCUCCUUGCACUGAAAUGGUGACUUUUCAUGACGCACACACCCUACAAGAGAUUUUAGUGACAUGUUAAUCUCAGCCAUACAGAUGGAGUAAAUGAAGGCUCACAGCAUCACUUGGAUGCAGCUAAGUCUGCAGAAUUGAGCCACAGUAGCAGAAAACAAUUGAUCAAUUGAUGAUCGCCCACUGGCACCAGGUACCUCCCCUGUUGAUCUCCUUUCAACCAGUUCACCUUUCUGCCCUUGUGUGUUGGAACAUUCAGGUUCCUGGAUACUUAUAUCAUGUAAGCCCUGGCUAUGCACAGGACCACACGCACUCCAUUCACACACCUAGGUCUGCAGCCAGACUUGCUAUAUAUCUCUCACUUAGGCUUUGUUGCCCUUUUUUAAAAUAUAGGUUUGGAGGGCUGGAGAGAUGGCUCAAUGGUUUUAAGACGCUUGUUUGG
Molecule: long non-coding RNA, 1495 nt
Organism: Jaculus jaculus (lesser Egyptian jerboa)
Lineage: Eukaryota; Metazoa; Chordata; Mammalia; Rodentia; Dipodidae
Exons: 4
Source: RefSeq, a predicted model, not a curated record